UUACCUGGGCUUGAACUGUACAUGACAGGUGUAGAGAUACACCCUUCUUCGGACAUGUAUAGAGGUGCUGCAUGGCUGUCGUCAGGUCGUGUCGUGAGAUGUUGGGUUAAGUCCCGCAACGAGCGCAACCUUUACCCCUUGUUGCUAACAGGUAAAGCUGGGCACUCUAGGGGAACUGCCGGUGAUAAACCGGAGGAAGGUGGGGAUGACGUCAAGUCAUCACGGCCCUUAUGUCCAGGGCUACGCACGUGCUACAAUGGCCGGUACAAAGAGACGCAAUGCCGCGAGGUGGAGCAAAUCUCAAAAAACCGGUCUCAGUUCGGAUUGGAGUCUGCAACUCGACUCCAUGAAGCUGGAAUCGCUAGUAAUCGUAGAUCAGCACGCUACGGUGAAUACGUUCCCGGGCCUUGUACACACCGCCCGUCACACCAUCUGAGUUGGCAGCACCCGAAGUGGCUGAACUAACCGCAAGGAAGAAGGUUACUAAGGUGAAGUCGGUGAAGAGGGUGAAGUCGUAACAAGGUAGCC
This 528-nucleotide ribosomal RNA is filed under the name uncultured bacterium. RNAcentral describes it as "bacterial SSU rRNA". It matches the Rfam family "Bacterial small subunit ribosomal RNA", at positions 971 to 1501 of the family's 1533-position model. The record is from RNAcentral.